GACGAACGCUGGCGGCGUGCUUAACACAUGCAAGUCGAACGGAAAGGCCCUGCUUGCAGGGUGCUCGAGUGGCGAACGGGUGAGUAACACGUGGGUGAUCUGCCCCUUACUUUGGGAUAAGCCUGGGAAACUGGGUCUAAUACUGGAUAGGACCAUGCUGUAGGUGGUGUGGUGGAAAGAUUAGUUUCGGUAAGGGAUGAGCUCGCGGCCUAUCAGCUUGUUGGUGGGGUAAUGGCCUACCAAGGCGUCGACGGGUAGCCGGCCUGAGAGGGUGGACGGCCACAUUGGGACUGAGAUACGGCCCAGACUCCUACGGGAGGCAGCAGUGGGGAAGAGUGCACAAUGGGCGCAAGCCUGAUGCAGCGACGCCGCGUGGGGGAUGACGGCCUUCGGGUUGUAAACUCCUUUCAGCCAUGACGAAGCCCUUGUGGUGACGGUAGUGGUAGAAGAAGCACCGGCUAACUACGUG
RNAcentral lists this ribosomal RNA (469 nucleotides) under uncultured bacterium. RNAcentral's name for it is "partial 16S ribosomal RNA". It matches the Rfam family "Bacterial small subunit ribosomal RNA", at positions 28 to 507 of the family's 1533-position model. The record is from RNAcentral.